RNAcentral lists this ribosomal RNA (462 nucleotides) under uncultured bacterium. Its description in RNAcentral is "partial 16S ribosomal RNA". It matches the Rfam family "Bacterial small subunit ribosomal RNA", at positions 28 to 507 of the family's 1533-position model. The record is from RNAcentral.
GAUAAACGCUGGCGGCGUGCUUAACACAUGCAAGUCGAACGAAGUUUUUCCUUCGGGAGAAACUUAGUGGCGGACGGGUGAGUAACGCGUGGGUAACCUGCCCUGUACAGGGGGACAACAGCUGGAAACGGCUGCUAAUACCGCAUAAGCCCUUAGCACUGCAUGGUGCAUAGGGAAAAGGAGCAAUCCGGUACAGGAUGGACCCGCGUCUGAUUAGCCAGUUGGCAGGGUAACGGCCUACCAAAGCGACGAUCAGUAGCCGAUCUGAGAGGAUGUACGGCCACAUUGGGACUGAGACACGGCCCAGACUCCUACGGGAGGCAGCGGUGGGGAAUAUUGCACAAUGGAGGAAACUCUGAUGCAGCGACGCCGCGUGAGUGAAGAAGUAUUUCGGUAUGUAAAGCUCUAUCAGCAGGGAAGAAAAUGACGGUACCUGACUAAGAAGCACCGGCUAAAUACGUG